This is a non-coding RNA of Nicotiana tabacum (common tobacco), 1116 nucleotides long. NCBI's taxonomy places the organism in Eukaryota, Viridiplantae, Streptophyta, Magnoliopsida, Solanales, Solanaceae. The record is from RefSeq and is a predicted model, not a curated record.
UUCCGCAACAGUCAUAUUUCUCGCUCUUCAUCUUGUAGAUUUUUAGUUCAUGCAUUGCUUGAACUUUCAUCUCAAUAGAAAUUCAUGUAUUCUUGUUCUUUCCCCUUAUUAGUGAGAUGAGCGAGGAGGAGGUGGUUUAGAGUAAUGCACAUGUCCACUAUUGAAUGCUAAGCUCUAAUAUAAUUCAAAGGAUUUGGGUAACAAUAUGCUAGCUAUUACCGUUCUUGGCUCCAUUGGUGAAUGGACAGUUUUGUUGACAUUAUCUAUCGAAUGGACAAUAACCUUGAAUGUGGUUUGUCAGCAAAGUGUAAGUGAAGAAAAGAAAUGAAGUUUUAUCACCGCCGGAGAAGGGCUUCCCUCGUCUCUUUCUGAGCUAAGGUUAUAUUACCAUGAUGAGCUCCAUCUACUACCAACAGUCGGUCUUAGGUGCCUCACUUCGCUUCAAUGUCUAGAAAUAGCCUCCUGCUAUCGAUUCCAUUAUCAAUUGGACAACCAUCUCAGAUAUAAGGAAAAGUUUCUGCCUGCCGUUGAAGUUUCACAUCAAAGGCUGUUUGUUCAAUCUUCUGUUCGUUGUUCUUAAACUCCAGUCAAUUCAUGGAAUCACAAGGAAGAGCAUGAAUGGAAGAGGAACUCCAAACUCAGCUCCUUUUCAUCACAUAUUGCUUUAUUCAUUUUGAUCUUUGAGUUUCUAACCACCCUGCAUUUGAUAGUUUGUUUUUUCUGAGUUGUCGAGAAGGGAAAGUUGUUGAGAUAUUUAAGUUACUCUGAGAAGGGACUUUCCAUUAGGCCUUUCUGCUCUGGAUACGUUUGGCCAACGGAAAGCAAAAGACAACAUAAUUAUUGGACUUUCUGUAUUGAGUAUUCUGAACUUCUGGACGUAAAGGGUUAGAGCAAACAGUAAAUACACUGUAAAAUGUACAAGAAAUAGAGGAGAUUCUGAGGAGAGAAUAUUAAAUGUUAAUGAGAAGAGAAAGUGAGGUUUCAAUAGUCUCUUAUUUUCUUUCCUCAAGUUGGCUAGUGAAAGAUGUGCAUGCAUUCUUUGGAAGUUGGACCUAUAGUCUACUUGUCAAUUUAGGACGGAUUCAACUAAAUUCAUUGCUUUUGACUCAAACUACA